RNAcentral lists this transfer RNA (82 nucleotides) under Candidatus Pacearchaeota archaeon. RNAcentral describes it as "tRNA-Ser". It matches the Rfam family "tRNA". From Rfam's summary of the family: Transfer RNA (tRNA) molecules are approximately 80 nucleotides in length. Their secondary structure includes four short double-helical elements and three loops (D, anti-codon, and T loops). Lineage: Archaea; Nanobdellati. The record is from RNAcentral.
GCCCAGAUCGCAUAAUGGUAUUGCGCCUGUCUCGAGAACAGGUUUCCGCAAGGAUAUCCAGGUUCGAUUCCUGGUCUGGGCG